This is a non-coding RNA of Paramuricea clavata, 491 nucleotides long. Lineage: Eukaryota; Metazoa; Cnidaria; Anthozoa; Malacalcyonacea; Plexauridae. The record is from the annotation of a GenBank genome assembly.
AAAAAUCCUACAGAGACAUGAGACUGAAAAAUCAAUCCUGCUGCAAAAAUUUUAUACCCCCCUCCCGGGAUUUCUAAUGGUGCCCAAAGUCCUGGUAAAGAUGCCCAAAAUCCUGGUAUGUAUUUUUACUAGUUAUACAGGGUGUAUCAAAAUAAACGCAACUCAUCUUUUGUGCUUAAUAACUUUCGACAUACUAUUUCUAGUUAAACGCUUUUAGGCUUACUUCAAAGCCUGUUCUUUUCUCUUUCACACAAACUAUUAUCCUUGUCUCCAAUGCUAGUAAUAAUUGCACAGGAAAAGAUUUAGUAAAACCUAUCAUUUUUAGUUGCUGUUUAAUUAUGCAAGUUUACUAUAUUAUUGUUUAGUCGGUUUAAAUGUUAGAAUUUUCUUCUUUAAACUUUAAUGUUGUCGUCACUACAUCUGGAAAACCACGUAAGAACAAAUUAAAAGUAUUUUAAAAGAGACCAGGUUGUUUGAAAAUCCUAAACGAA